GAUGAAGAACGUAGCGAAAUGCGAUAAGUAAUGUGAAUUGCAGAAUUCAGUGAAUCAUCGAAUCUUUGAACGCACAUUGCGCCCUCUGGUAUUCCGGGGGGCAUGCCUGUUCGAGCGUCAUUAUAACCACUCAAGCUCUCGCUUGGUAUUGGGGUUCGCGGUUCCGCGGCCCCUAAAAUCAGUAGCGGUGCCUGUCGGCUCUACGCGUAGUAAUACUCCUCGCGAUUGAGUCCGGUAGGUCUACUUGCCAGCAACCCCCAAUUUUUACAGGUUGACCUCGGAUCAGGUAGGGAUACCCGCUGAACUUAAGCAUAUCAAUAAGCGGAGGA
RNAcentral lists this unclassified non-coding RNA (329 nucleotides) under soil metagenome. Its description in RNAcentral is "partial contains 5.8S ribosomal RNA, internal transcribed spacer 2, and large subunit ribosomal RNA". The stretch from base 1 to 120 matches the Rfam family "5.8S ribosomal RNA", at positions 35 to 154 of the family's 154-position model. The record is from RNAcentral.